RNAcentral lists this unclassified non-coding RNA (200 nucleotides) under Tubeufiaceae sp. RNAcentral describes it as "partial internal transcribed spacer 2". The record is from RNAcentral. Lineage: Eukaryota; Fungi; Ascomycota; Dothideomycetes; Tubeufiales; Tubeufiaceae.
UUAAGUUCAGCGGGUAUCCCUACCUGAUCCGAGGUCAAACCAUAGAAAAAUUGGGGGUUGUCUGGCGAGCAGAGCCCAUAACUCCGAAGCGGGUAGAAUUGACUACGCUGGGAGAUGGACACCACCGCCUACGAGUUUCAGGCGCGUCCUGAGCGGACGGAGCCCAAUACCAAGCAGAAGCUUGAGGUUUGAAAUGACGC